GGAUUUGAGGGCAGUCUUCCUGUGACAUCUGUCACCCACUGAUUGCCAGGAUUGAUUCUGCUGAUCUGGCUGGCUAGGUGGGUGUCCCUGUCCUCAUUCAUCGCUCCACGUGUGUCCCUCCUGAAGCAGCAUGCUCAGUUGAAAAAGAAGAAGACAAUCUUCCCCAAAUAGAGAUGGACCAGAUCUUUGGUGGAGGGUUUACAAGUAGCUGGGCUCCCCUGCUAGAACCUCCAAAAAAGCUCUUGAGAAAUAUAUAUUUUAAAGUAUAUUAUACUUGAGGAGCAACUGAUGUAUGAUUGUAUUUCCCUGUCAAUUAAUUAAAAAUAUUGUCAUAUCAA
RNAcentral lists this small nuclear RNA (338 nucleotides) under Erinaceus europaeus (western European hedgehog). RNAcentral's name for it is "7SK RNA". It matches the Rfam family "7SK RNA". From Rfam's summary of the family: 7SK was discovered as an abundant small nuclear RNA in the mid-70s but a possible function has only recently been suggested. Two independent studies have found that 7SK RNA binds the CDK9/cyclin T complex (known as elongation factor P-TEFb). Lineage: Eukaryota; Metazoa; Chordata; Mammalia; Eulipotyphla; Erinaceidae. The record is from Rfam by way of RNAcentral.